UGGAGGACCAAGUGUAACCUGGCCAAUCCCAUGUAGCCAGCUCCCCCUGCUCCUGGCCAGUCAGUGUCUGGCCACCCUUUGCUAAUUUGAGGGUGUAAAGGAGGGGAGCUACCUAUUCUCAGGUGUGAAGUGGCUUUUUGCUUGUGUCCUCUCACUGUGAAGGAGGUACCCAACCCACUUCUUCAUGUGUGCGAGGAGCAAGGCACAUCCUUGGAAGAUACAAGUUCUAAUGUAUGCUGUAAAGCGGAGAUGAUGAAGGAAUGCCGUAAGAGGAUCAGACUUCUUGAAGGGGGAUUUGGAAGAGCAUCUGCAAGAGCAGCACCUCUUAAGUGAUAACUGCUCAUCUCAGCCCUUCCAGAUGAAGCCUGUGUCAUGAAGCUGGAGACAAUCGGAUGCCCAUUUGAGUGGAUCUUCAGCCUGGUCCAUGCACCUCUCUAGCAACACAUGUCCUGCAUGUCCUGAAGCCACUGUUCAGCCCUGCACACAGAGGAAGAGCCUAUUCCUGAGCCUUGCUGUGGGAUCUUCACUUCACGCAGUUGUUAGAGGUCAGAAGUAAAAUAGAGCUGCGUUCACCAAAAGACUUGAAAAUAUAUACAGGCCUGCUGGGACCUCCCCUAAUCUUUCCCGCAUCAUUGGC
RNAcentral lists this long non-coding RNA (637 nucleotides) under Phasianus colchicus (ring-necked pheasant). RNAcentral describes it as "lncRNA (ENSPCLG00000006457.1)". The record is from RNAcentral. Lineage: Eukaryota; Metazoa; Chordata; Aves; Galliformes; Phasianidae.